UACGGAGGAUCUGAGCGUUAUCCGGAUUUAUUGGGUUUAAAGGGUGCGCAGGCGGGGGAUUAAGUCGGCGGUGAAAUUUUGCAGCUCAACUGUAAAAGUGCCUUCGAAACUGGUUUCCUUGAGUGUAGAUGAAGUAGGCGGAAUUUGUGGUGUAGCGGUGAAAUGCAUAGAUAUCACGAGGAACUCCGAUUGCGCAGGCAGCUUACUAAACUACUACUGACGCUCAGGCACGAAGGCGUGGGGAUCAAACAGGAUUAGAUACCCGGGUAGUCCCU
Molecule: ribosomal RNA, 275 nt
Filed under: uncultured prokaryote
Description: partial 16S ribosomal RNA
Rfam family: Bacterial small subunit ribosomal RNA
Source: RNAcentral